This 902-nucleotide ribosomal RNA is filed under the name uncultured archaeon. RNAcentral describes it as "bacterial SSU rRNA". It matches the Rfam family "Archaeal small subunit ribosomal RNA", at positions 14 to 922 of the family's 1478-position model. The record is from RNAcentral.
CCGCCAGACCUGACUGCUAUCGGAUUGAUACUAAGCCACGCGAGUCGUUGUAGCAAUACAAGGCAUACGGCUCAGUAACGCGUAGUCAACCUAACCUAUGGACGGGAAUAACCUCGGGAAACUGAGAAUAAUGCCCGAUAGAACAUUAUGCCUGGAAUGGUUUAUGUUCCAAAUGAUUUAUCGCCAUAGGAUGGGACUGCGGCCUAUCAGUUUGUUGGUGAGGUAAUGGCCCACCAAGACUAUUACAGGUACGGGCUCUGAGAGGAGUAGCCCGGAGAUGGGUACUGAGACACGGACCCAGGCCCUAUGGGGCGCAGCAGGCGAGAAAACUUUGCAAUGUGCGAAAGCACGACAAGGUUAAUCCGAGUGAUUUCUGCUAAAGAGAUCUUUUGUUAGUCCUAGAAACACUAACGAAUAAGGGGUGGGCAAGUUCUGGUGUCAGCCGCCGCGGUAAAACCAGCACCUCAAGUGGUCAGGAUGAUUAUUGGGCCUAAAGCAUCCGUAGCCGGCUCUGUAAGUUUUCGGUUAAAUCUGUACGCUCAACGUACAGGCUGCCGGAAAUACUGCAGAACUAGGGAGUGGGAGAGGUAGACGGUACUCGGUAGGAAGUGGUAAAAUGCUUUGAUCUAUCGAUGACCACCUGUGGCGAAGGCGGUCUACCAGAACACGUCCGACGGUGAGGGAUGAAAGCUGGGGGAGCAAACCGGAUUAGAUACCCGGGUAGUCCCAGCUGUAAACUAUGCAAACUCAGUGAUGCAUUGGCUUGUGGCCAAUGCAGUGCUGCAGGGAAGCCGUUAAGUUUGCCGCCUGGGAAGUACGUACGCAAGUAUGAAACUUAAAGGAAUUGGCGGGGGAGCACCACAAGGGGUGAAGCCUGCGGUUCAAUUGGAUUCAACGCCGGG